RNAcentral lists this long non-coding RNA (2427 nucleotides) under Sorghum bicolor (sorghum). RNAcentral describes it as "long non-coding RNA (SBIC_LNC012429)". Lineage: Eukaryota; Viridiplantae; Streptophyta; Magnoliopsida; Poales; Poaceae. The record is from RNAcentral.
AUCUGACAAAUGUUAUAAGUGCUACACUCAUGAACUUAUCAUCCAUCAACUUGUCUUGCUCACUAUGCUUAAGGUUAGAGAAGAACAAAUACACUUUUGGUUCUGUUGGUGUUUUCCACCAACAGGGCCCAUGCACUUGAUCUCUGCCUUGUCUCUAUGAGCAGGUACACUACGAGCACAAACACAUUGAGCAAGAUACUGCUAACACCGCACUUCGAACUGCUGGGCAAACGAAGAACAUGGGUGACACCGUAUUAAAAGGUGCAGACGUCAAGGUCCGCACCUGAAUCAAAUGACGCACCUGAAGAAUGAACACGAUGAGAAGUCUUGACAAGAAGACUUAAAACAUUGAACCCUCGCCGAAAGGUAAGAUUGGUAGUUAUCCAUAUUUAUCCUUUAUGCAUUCCCUUUUCCAUUUAAUUAUUUACUUUCCUUAAAUAGAUUAUUAGUUAAUCAUGCUAUCUUGAAAAGAAAAUAAAAAUGUUAAAAAAUACUAAGUCCCAUGUGAGUAUACGAGUGGCAUAAAACCCAUAAGUAUCUUCACUGUGGUGGCAUAAAAAUAAAAUAAAUAUUUCUUUCUACUUUAUAAAAUAAAAAUAUAAAAAUAAGGAGUAAUAUUUAUUGAGGAAGCUCAACGUGAUGAAGGUUAGAUAUUUAUGCUAACACUUAAUUAGUUCCACAAGCUUUGUUGUCUAUUUGAGCUCCACAGAAUUUAAGAAUCAAGAAGACUAGCAGACGGAGGACAUUCUAAUCGCUGUCAGAAUGCUGCUGACUUUCAAAUACACUUCUGCCACCUGCUAGCUACAUCAAGAGAAAUUACGUUAAAAUUCAGCUUGGGGGAGAGCACCCCCAUUUAUCUCUAUAAGUAUUUCUAUCUAUCUUUAUACUUAUAUUAUUUUAGAAUAUUAAAAUAUAAACUAUGAAAAACCAAAUAAAGAUUUAUGCUUAUAUAUAUAUAUCUUUUGCUUAGUGUGUUUAAUAAAUAAAUAAAGUGGCUAUGCUAAUCUGUAUCUAAAUAAAACUUAAGCAUGGAUAUGAUGAAUGGUUGCUCUGCCUAAUUUGCAUAUUUUAAGUUCUCUCUCAAGUUUAGACAUAACUGUUAUAAUUUAAAGCUUGCUCUAGACCUAAACUUGUGGGAUGAAAAUUUGAUCUCAAGUCUAAGUUGUUAACGGAUAUGAUAUGGAAAGGUUGAGCUGUUGUUUAUCUGUUCCUAGAGAUGCUAUAAUUCUGGAGAAUUUUAUCUUUGAAAAUCUUUAAAAUGUUGCAUGAUGAGUUUCUGUAUGAUGAGAGUUUAAAUUCCUACCACAACCAUAUAUACAUGCUUGCUAGACUUUGAAGCCAUACAUUUACUAUUUACUGCUUAUGAGCAUUGAGUGUGGUCAAGCUGUGUAGACCCUUAGGAGCUUGUCAUGUGGUUAAAUCAAGAUUUCACUUGCACGUUCACUCAUAUAUGCUACUUCUACUCCGGAAGUACCAUCCACAUAUAUCCACCCAUUCCAUCUCCAGAAUCACCCAAAAAUAUUCUACUCCUAAUCCGGGAGAGAAUAGCCAAAAAUAUUUCUGUUUUCCCUUGUGAAAUAAAUGCUCAAGUUAUUUUGUUACUACCACUUGCUAUAUUAUCUCAAGAGAUGAGUGCUCUAAAAAAAAGAAAAAAAAGAAAAAAAAAUAUAUAAAUAUAAUACGAGGAAAUAAAAAGGAGCAAGUGCUUGGAACCUCGAAAGAAAAGAAAAAGUGAGACGAGAGGUAAAAAUGGACAAGUGUCCGAUAGUAGAAUUAGGGGUACAAGAUACCCACCUGAGAGAACAGGAAAAGAAGAGCAUCUCAUUCUCCACACUAUUCAAAAAGCAAGGAAGGUAUGUAUCCCCUCAAAGAGCAAAGUAGAAUUAGACUUCCACCAUUGUUAUCACCAUCAUCACCAUACACCAUUCAUUCGCCACACAUGCACAUCUUGAUUUGACUUAUUGAUUUGUUUCUUUGGAUCCACGGUUUGACUAUGCAAUAAAUGUCUUGUAAGUAUGUAUACUUUAUCUCCCACCUAUGAGCUCCAGAUAUUAAAGCCUUAUUAGAGUAGGGUGAGAGAGUAGACAAUGUCACUAUGCUUCGUACCAUAAAUACUACAUAUCUUGAGAGAAGGCAUAUACCAUCACUGCCUUGGUAAGGAUCCAGAAAUACCACAAAAGAGAGAUCUGAGAGAAUCAUACAAGGAAUCCCUGAGUUUUACUUGAAAACCUGCAAAAAACCCCAGAGCUAUAGCUGAUCAAGAAUAAGAGACAUGGCACUUGGCUAGACUGUUCUAUCUUUUAACCACUCAAGACAGAAGUGACAGUUACAAGUCCCAUAGUGAAAGGUAAAGUAAGUAAGUUUUAAGUCUUGACAGUUUACUCUAACUCAGAGAUGAGAACUUAUUUAAAAAGCAUGUGUACCGUC